AAGCCAUAUUUUCAGGGACUCCCCCUCUCCCUUCUCCCCGAGUCCUGCAUGCACCUGUGUUCACACACACUUCACAUGGCUACCCAACUGCAGGCCAGGACACAUGUGCCUCUGUGUGCCAGCUACACGUUCACAGGACUUGCAGCACUGUCCUUUAUCCCGCUGACAUCCUGCCUGCUCCCGGAGAGCCCACAAAGUGCACAGCUGUGCACACAGUGGAAGGGCUUUCUCCAUUCCUCACCACCGGAGGACGCUCCCUGUCACCCAGCUGUGGUAGUGGCCAUGGCUGAGGCUUCAGCAGUACACAUGUCUGAGGGACAGAUUCAAGGAUGGCCCUAAGUAGCCACUCAGGUGUGUGUAAAAUCCAGCUGCCCAAACCCAAGUUCCUUGAGGAAGAGUUCAGAGCAUCGGCUGAGGCAGUGAGGACAAACAAGAGCUUCGAGCUUUCUUGGUGUCGGACACAGCUCGUUCCACAUAGUCCACGGAAUGUUCCACAUUGUAUUCGAUGCGGUCAAUCAUCUCGCCCUGCAGACGGGGGAAUAUGAAUGAGGGUCGGCUGGAAAAGGCACCCUUGGAGCUCAUGGGGACCCCCAGACUGGUGCAGCCUGUACCUGGCUCUCCACCAGCAUGGCCAUGUCCACAAACAUGUCGUGAAGCUCUCGGA
Molecule: long non-coding RNA, 664 nt
Organism: Arvicola amphibius (Eurasian water vole)
Lineage: Eukaryota; Metazoa; Chordata; Mammalia; Rodentia; Cricetidae
Exons: 2
Source: RefSeq, a predicted model, not a curated record